This is a long non-coding RNA of Betta splendens (Siamese fighting fish), 2233 nucleotides long. RefSeq lists it as uncharacterized. The record is from RefSeq and is a predicted model, not a curated record. Lineage: Eukaryota; Metazoa; Chordata; Actinopteri; Anabantiformes; Osphronemidae. The transcript is spliced from 5 exons.
AGAAGCUUCGCUUAUUAAAAAAGCGCAUUCUGUGACACGAGCAAAAAUUACUAUUAACGAAAUUCGAUCUUGUUACCACAGCCGUAAGAAUCAACUCGGAGUCACAACCUUAACCAUUGGACCAGCAAGCAAUCUAUACAGUCCAACAGAAAGGAGGCAGCGGCUAGAACAACUGGUGGAGGACCUGCACCUCCACCACUGACGCAUGCAGAGGAGAAGGCACUCAGCAUGAACACUGGAAAGCAGGGGCUGAAGGAAUUCCUGGAGGGAGUUCAUCAGAACCAUUCACUCCCCAGGAUACAAGUGCAUUUGUAAAAUAUUCUGAUGGUAAUAUGUGAAUCUUCCUGUCACAACAGAAGCCCAGGAUGUUAGUGUGGAAGAACAGCAGGAGGAGGGUCCGUCACAUUCUGCUGCACAGAUGCACACCGUUCAGUGAUGUUCAUUAAAUGCCAGAGUUCAAUUCUGAAAUGAAAAAAAAAUCCAACAAGUCGACAUUUUGUCAACAAUACGGCACACAAGAAAAGCUCGACAAUCAAAGGAAGCAGGAGGGCAGCACGCUCCGAACCUGACGCCGACUGGCAGCUGGUACGUAACCAUCGACGAGGGGCGCAAUGGUUUAAGGAAUCCGGAUUGCAUUAAUUAAGGACGGUCAAGGGAGACAUGUCAACAGGAUGCAAGAGCGGAUGUCGCCGGCCCCUUGAUCAAGGAUGACGCUUUACUGAUAGAUUUGGUGUUCCUUUAUUAAAUUCCAUACGCAUACCGUCCGUUACAGCAUUCUCCACCGUAAGAGCUAUGGUAAUACAACAUUAAAAUUAGCAUACUUUAAAACGCACUAAAACAUCAUUCAUUCAUACUUCAAUAAACAAUACGUAAAUCCAUAUAAAAAAAUCAUAUUAUUAUUUACACUCCCACCAAAAUUGUGAAUGUAAAUCCGUACAACAAUGAAUAAUUUUCAGUGCAGAAAUAACCCUUACACCGAAAAAAUAACCUUAGGAACCCUCUAACAACAAGAUGAGCUUUUGCACUGGUCGCUCAACAACUGAAGUUUUAUUGCAACGUUGACCUUUACUGUCCAGUUUCUUAUCUCCAAGGGAGAUUUUCACUCUUCUUACGAGGCUAUCCUCUCUGCUGUCAGUUUCUACCACUCUUCCCAGUCUCUAUUCACCUCAAGGUAACAGUUUGUCCACAUCCAAACGACAUUGCCCACCUUUAGGUUCCUUUUUGCUAAAUGCUAUUUUUGUCUUGCAAUGAUUAUGUAAACAUACGCCCUUCUCCAACGGUACCAGAACUGCUUCGUCAGAAACUGCACCCAACGGCAUCUCAGUUUCCCAUACAGAUCUUCCUUAUGGAAUGAGCCAGUGGAGGCAGGGCUGUGCUGGUUUUCAUCUGAAGCAGGUGAUUGGAAGUCAGAGGCUCUAAACUUUUAGGAUCCUUUAAGUUAUCCACUGUUAGAGAUCUACUGUUUACUAUGGCCAUGGCUUCAUACAAUACAGUCCUUAAGGAAGCAUCAUUGAGUUUGCCAUGAGCAAGUGAUAACGUGGUAUUCAACACACUUCUUUAUCUGACGCACAAAGUCACUUUGGUUUUGUGAAAGAUUUACAUGUAGUCUCUUUUUUUAAAGGUCCAUGCACACACUUUUUUCAUGCUACACAAUGCUAAAGAAUUGGACCUUGAUGUCCUUGGACCUAUGUGUCUGUAACUUUUCAUGCCAAAAAGCUCUGUACGUAGAUCGCCCACACGCCCGUCUGAAAAUGUGUGUUUUAAGCUCUCGUCCACAAUGCUCUGUUUUAGGAAUGUGUCGCAAGCGAAAUUGAUUGCCACACCCCUUUGAGGAAGCGCGACGAGGCAGUAUGUUUGAAUGUGUAUUCAUUACAGAACACAUUUAAUAUACAGUAUAUCAGACAAUUACACAUGCACGGAAUAAAUCAGUAUCUCAGAAAUUCAUAAACAAUUUUUACUAUUUACAGAUUAAUCAUAACGUACCUGGGAACUCUGGUUUACAAACAUAGUUUUGGUUCUAAAUACAUAUUGACCCAAUAUAUUUUUAAUUGCUUUUAGUAAGGUGUAUGAUAAAUUAAGUGCUAACAUAUAACUAAUAGAAAUGUAGUUAUUGUUUUUUUCUUUAUAAAUUUGACAGUACUAUGUCUGCGUGUAUCUCAAGUCGUUGCAGGUAUCUAGCCUAGAAGUCUUGUUAGCUGGUGCUGGGGACUUCUAGGGUGAAGAGUCCAAGUUG